Molecule: long non-coding RNA, 1372 nt
Filed under: Marmota monax (woodchuck)
Lineage: Eukaryota; Metazoa; Chordata; Mammalia; Rodentia; Sciuridae
Source: RNAcentral
CAUAAACAGAUAUAAAUGUACUUUAAGUUUAUGAAUUAAUUAUAAACAGAUAUAUACAUAAAGUACGGAUUUCUGGGCAUUCACAUAAUGGAAUGCAUGAUCCAAAAAUCUGAGGAGUCGAUUUCUGUUCUAGGUUGCUGCUUCCCUGCCCCCCAGGUCCAGGCAGAGGGAGGAGUAGAGACCUGUGGACUUUCUCUGGCAACAUCAUUUUGCACCCAGGCCAGGGUGUGUGAUUCUGCUUGACACCCCAUGGCAGGUGGGAAGGCACACUGGCUCGACCCGUCACGGCAGAAUGAGCUUCCUCACAGCCAAUUAUAAAUCCACGCAGAGCUCAGAGAAGGUGUGAGCCUUUCCCAAGGUUCCCCCAGGGCCCCUUUUCCAGUGUGCAAAAUAUGCCUCCCCAGGGACCUUUCUCUCCCCUCCCCUUCUCUCUCUGAAGUUUCCAGCCCCACCCUUUAGUUAAGUCAGCAAGUCUCUUUUGCUGGAUAUUAAAUUCUUUCAGUUAGAGGGCCAUCAAGAGCAGCAACCCACUUUCUUGUCUGCUCAGACUGCCACAUUUUACCACAGUUAAAUGCUACAGACUGGGUGGCUUACCAACAGACGUUUAUUUCUCACACUUGUGGAGGUUGGAUGUUCAAGAUCAAGGUGCCUGCCAAUUCAGUUCCCAGUGAGGACCUUCUCCCUAGCUUUCAAACAAACAGCUUCCCUCUGGUACACACACACACACACAGAUCUUUCUUCUUACAAGACCACCAGUACUAUUGGAUUAGAAGCCCACCUAUAUGACCUCAUUUGACUUCACCUCCUAAAAGCCCUAUCUGCAAACACACUAACAUCCCAAUAUAUAUUCCACUCUUUUAAAUAUAAAUCAGAACGUGAAUAACCCAGGGAAUUGAAUUGAAGAGAGCACCCUAUUCAGCCAUUUUGAAUUGGAAGGAGUGCUAUCUUCAGCCCCUGCACCCUCAUAGCCCCUCAGUCACUGUGUUUGUGAAGAGUGAUGAUGAGCCACUGCUGCCUCAUUAGGGAUUGUGUGUUAUCCCCACAUUUAUGUGCUGAAGUCCUAACCCAGUGCCUUGGAAUGUGACUAUUUGUAGAGAGAAAGGGUCAUUACAGAGGUAGCCAAGUUAAAAUGAGGCCCGAGGGCAGUAUGCAAUAUGACUGGUGUCAGCAGAGGAUGUCCAAGUCCCUGCCUUCCGCUCAGAAGGGCUUGCAGAUGUCCUGGGCAAUGAAAUACCUUGGGUGCUGGGUCAGGGAGGCUGUGCUCUCAGUUCUGGUCUUGACUCUCCAGGAUGAAUGCUUUCCACCAUUCCUGCAUGAUUUCCAGCAGUUGUUUCUCUCUCUCCUUCCUCCAGGCCCAACCUCACUUUCUCCU